GACGAACGCUGGCGGCGUGCCUAAUACAUGCCAGUCGAGCGAAAGGGCGAGGAGCUUGUGUCGCUGAUGUGAGCGGCGCACGGGUGAGUAACGCGUGGAGAAUCUCCCUAUAAGAGGGGGAUAACUUCGGGAAACGGGAGCUAAUACCGGAUGAUAUCUUGAACCACAUGGUUCAAAAGUGAAAGACGGUCUUGCUGUAUCUAAUAGAGGGAUCCCGGCUUCUUUGGCUGGUUGGUAAGGUAACGGCCUACCAAGGGAAGGAUGCAUGGCCGACGGGAGAGGGGGAUCGGCCACACUGGAGCGUGGACACGGUCCAGACUCCUACGGGAGGCAGCAGAAGGGAACCUGCCGCAGUGGGGGAAAGCCUGACGGAGCAACGCCGCGUGAGUGAUAAAGGUCUUCGGAUCGUAAAACUCUGUUAUUGGGGAGAAACAUAUGUGGAAGGAAAUGUGCACCUAGUGACGGUAACUAAUCAGAAAGCCACGGCUAACUACGUG
Molecule: ribosomal RNA, 497 nt
Filed under: uncultured bacterium
Lineage: Bacteria
Description: partial 16S ribosomal RNA
Rfam family: Bacterial small subunit ribosomal RNA
Source: RNAcentral